AUGAAGUUAAAGAAAUUGAAAGUUUCUUUUCAUUUUUCAUAUAUAUAUAUGCAGUAUUCUAUAAAAUCAGUAUUUGUCAAAUCGUCAAGUCCCAAGUGUAUGUAAAAGAUAAAGUAUAUGUUUCUUUUUUAAAAGGCUUUUUUAUUAAAUUAAAAUAGAUAUUAUUUGGUAAAAUAGCCUUCUUAGAACCAUCCCUCCCCAUAUGAAUACUUUGUACGAGUAAUUUUGCACAAAUCAAAUAGAAAAGUGAUCCUUGUCCUUAUUUUAAAAAAAAAAUCUUCCUUCACUCCAACUUUCACUUUAAUUUAACAGCAUUAAUUCAUAUUAUAUUUGAAAUUGAAACCAUGUCACAUCGAAUAUAUAUAUAUGCAAAGCUUUGUAAAUUUAUAGUUGGCUUACAAAACCACCAAUUAUGUAAAUGUAUGCUCCAGUUUAGGCCAAAUAAAUGACAAAUGAGGGUGUUUUUGUUUUGCUUUACCAUGUAACCCUUGUUGCCAGUGCUGAACUUUCUGAUUUUUGGUUCUUUAUCUAACUACAUUUACAAGUCCAGGGCUUACAGUAAAAAAAAAAACUGUUGAAUAAGAUUAUUUUACUCCAGACUCAAAAAUCAAACAAUUAAAAACUAGAUUUCUUGUUUUUGAACAUAAUCCCGAGUGCUGACUAAAGUGUUAUGAUUGAAAGUUCAGAUACAUGCUAAAUUUCAUGUACAAAUGUUAAUCCAUCUACCAGGUUUUUUUUAAUCGUUUGCCAUAAAAAAAAAACUCACUUGUAUUGUUUUGACCAAAGGAGGGACCUUAGAGAAAUAUGUAUUCUAUUUAUUGUUGUCUGUUGUAUGAUGCCAGUAUUUAUUUGUUUGUUUGUUGAUUUAUAUAUUUAUUUAUUGCACUCUAUACUUUACACAGUAUUAAAGAAUUAAAUAUUUAUUUUGUAUACCAAAAAAUGUGUUUGUGCUGUAGUUGGAAGUUAGCAAAUUUGCAGAGAGGUUUAUAAUUCUAUCGUUCUUUUUUUCUCCUUAAUUGAGAGAGAUGUCUAUUUGAAAUUAGGCCAUAUGAGAAAUCUUGAUUUUUACACCAUAUUUAAGUGAUUAGGAAUCUUUAUUUUACAUGAAUUACAAGUAUGCAAGUAAGAAUAAAAUGAAAUAGAUGUUACUUGCAUGAAACAUUCCCUGUAUAUAAAAUCAUUCUCAAAUGUUUGAGGAUUGCAUACAAAGAAAGGCAUAUAAAAGUAAAAAAGAUAGAAAGUGGAGAAAAGGAAUUUAUCUAAACACAUUUUUCAUAUGGCUUAAUAUAUAUCUAUGUAAAUAUUCAAAGUUAUUUAUAAGACACAAAGAGUCUGGAUAUAUUGAGGUAUAAAUAUAUUGACAUCUGUGAAUGUUUGUUUGUAUGAAAUGUAAGCUACUUAAUAGUUGAAAAUGUCUAGUAAAAAAUGUCUGGUGGAGAGUUGUCUCAUUGGCUAUCGUACCAUUUUGUCUUAUUUCAUAAUGUUUUGAAUCAAUAUAUAACAAAUUAAAAUGAUAAUAGGAUAAAUUGAAUUUCCAAUUUGCAAUGUUUAAAAUAUACAUAAAUGGACUAAAAAGACAAUAGAUUGAACAAAAGUAUCAGUCUGCUUACUUUUUUUUGUUUAUAUCUUUUGAUAUCUAAGUAUUACAGUGUAACCGGUGUAAUCUGACACACUGGGGGACCAGAAAAUAAUGUUGGAUUAAACAGGAUGUCCAAAUACUCAGGUUUUAUCUGCAAGGAUAGGUAUAUUUUGGGACCAUAAAAAUGUGUUGGUUAAAUCAGGAUGUUGGAAUAUUCAGAUUAGGCAGGUUACACUGUAAUACCAUUCUGCCAAUACAUUGUUCUAAUCUGCUAAUUUGAGAUACUUUGGGAAAGAAACUGCUGAUUUUAAAUUCAAUAUUUGUUUAUUAUUAAGACUGUGGAUAUACAUGUAAUAUAACUCUACAUUAAUUGUUUGUGUUGAAGGGUGUGUUUGACUUAAGUACUAGUUACAUAGUGUUUGAACUAAUGUAUGUGUGUAUUCAUUUAUGAUGAUCUUUGACAUAUUUUCCUUUGCAUUCCAUAACUUUCAAAGAAUUAUAAAAAAUACAGACAUUCUUAAGAGGUGACUCUUUAAAAAUACUGAUAUUAAAAGAGGCAAUAACUCUUAUAGACGCUUUCAAACAAAAAGUAAACAUGUGUUUAGGAAGUCAAAUUUUGCGUAAAUUUCUCUCAUUAGACUAUGCAUUUUACAUUCAACCCACCAACAGAUCUGUUAGUUAUAUCAAAUUGAAAUAUUUAAUUUUUUAUAUUUAUAUAAUACAAAAAGUACAUUGUUAUCAAAAAUUGUUUGUGAGAGGAUCUCAUUCAUAACAAAUUAAGCCAUUUUAACAGUUAUAUGAUUUGCAAAUUACAAAAUCUCCAAUAAUGUUGUGUGAGAGGGCAUUUUGUUUGUAUCUAUUUUAAAUGUUAUAAGAAAGUUAUAUAAACCAGUUUUUGUUUUCAUAGAUGUGUAAACAAACCAUUGUAGUUCUAACAGAGUUUUCUUUGUUAUUAAACAGACAUUCCAUAACAGCCAGGGUUGUGGAAUUAAAUUUAUAUGUGUGUUACUAGUUUAUUUGGCCUUUAUUCCUUCAAGAUAUACAUGUUAAGGUAGGAUUACCCACAACUAUUCCAUAAUAGUCAGAGUGGUGAGAUUUAAAUAGAUAAUAAGAGAGGCG
Molecule: long non-coding RNA, 2698 nt
Filed under: Mytilus galloprovincialis (Mediterranean mussel)
Lineage: Eukaryota; Metazoa; Mollusca; Bivalvia; Mytilida; Mytilidae
Source: RNAcentral